AAAAGCGUAACAAAAACUUUCUGGAGCAUCUUUCAGGCACUUUGAGUCUCAGUUUCGCGCUUUUCAAAAUGAAGAGAGUAACUGUCAAGAGGAUGCCCUCUCACCUAUUCCCGGGAUGCCACCAUUGUUCUUCUUGGAGGAUACCCUGUGAUGCAGUCACUUGGCAUGUGCUUGGUGCUUCCUGUUUUACUUCACUGAGGGAACAGUGAAGUCCUAGCUGCCAGUCCUCAAGCCCUUGCCUUCUGUGUCAUGCUCUGUCUGCCAUCUUGGUUCUUUGA
Molecule: long non-coding RNA, 278 nt
Organism: Vombatus ursinus (common wombat)
Lineage: Eukaryota; Metazoa; Chordata; Mammalia; Diprotodontia; Vombatidae
Exons: 3
Source: RefSeq, a predicted model, not a curated record